Molecule: long non-coding RNA, 627 nt
Filed under: Brassica napus (rape)
Lineage: Eukaryota; Viridiplantae; Streptophyta; Magnoliopsida; Brassicales; Brassicaceae
Description: long non-coding RNA (BNAP_LNC002708)
Source: RNAcentral
GAAUUCAUACCAAAACCAUAAGUCUUAGAUCAGUUAAUCUUAAAGGUAUAAAUGCAUAUUUAUCUUUCAAUAAAAAAAAUUUUGGUCAUUUUCUCUUUAGAGAUCUAUUUUUGUGAAAAUAAACUAAAAAAUACUCCCUCUGUUCCUAAAAGUAGGAUGUUUAGCCAGAAACACGCAUAUUAAGAAAACUAUUUUUUGUCUAGAAAAUAUCAUUAAAACUAUAAAUUUAUAGUAUUCAACCAAUUACAAAAUACACUACUAAAAUAUGAUUGGGUACACAGUUUUUAAUAAAGUAAAAGUUACCUAAAAAAUGAAAACAUCUUAUAUAUUAGAACAUCAAAAUUAUGUAAAAUAUCCUAUUUUUAGGAACAGAGGGAGUACUAUUUAAGGGAAUUUUUUUUUUCAUCGUAAGUACAACAAAAGACCUAAGAUAUCCCUAAUUUUGAAACAAGAGGUCUCUUCCCUUCCAAGGCAAAAGAAAGGCAAAAGAAACACUAACUUUCUACAUUGGCUUAAGAUGAGCAAUUCAUGUCGCAUGAACGAGUCUUGAUCUUUCCCUGUAAUUGUUGAUUUAUCUCAAGAUAUAAAGAAAGUCUUAUAUGUUUAAUGUUCUUUAAAAUAUAUUAA